RNAcentral lists this ribosomal RNA (388 nucleotides) under uncultured bacterium. Its description in RNAcentral is "bacterial SSU rRNA". It matches the Rfam family "Bacterial small subunit ribosomal RNA", at positions 28 to 417 of the family's 1533-position model. The record is from RNAcentral.
GACGAACGCUGGCGGCGUGCUUAACACAUGCAAGUCGAGCGGUAAGGCCCCUUCGGGGUACGACGAGCGGCGAACGGGUGAGUAACACGUGGGUGACCUGCCCUCAGCUCUGGGAUAAGCCUGGGAAACUGGGUCUAAUACUGGAUAUGACUCCACGGUGCAUGUCGUGGGGUGGAAAGCCUUGUGCGGCUGAGGAUGGGCCCGCGGCCUAUCAGCUUGUUGGUGGGGUGANGGCCUACCAAGGCGACGACGGGUAGCCGGCCUGAGAGGGCGACCGGCCACACUGGGACUGAGACACGGCCCAGACUCCUACGGGAGGCAGCAGUGGGGAAUCUUGCGCAAUGGGCGAAAGCCUGACGCAGCGACGCCGCGUGAGGGAUGACGGCCU